This 497-nucleotide ribosomal RNA is filed under the name uncultured bacterium. RNAcentral's name for it is "partial 16S ribosomal RNA". It matches the Rfam family "Bacterial small subunit ribosomal RNA", at positions 28 to 507 of the family's 1533-position model. The record is from RNAcentral.
GAUGAACGCUGGCGGCGUGCCUAAUACAUGCAAGUCGAGCGAACGGACGAGAAGCUUGCUUCUCUGAUGUUAGCGGCGGACGGGUGAGUAACACGUGGAUAACCUACCUAUAAGACUGGGAUAACUUCGGGAAACCGGAGCUAAUACCGGAUGAUAUUUUGAACCGCAUGGUUCAAAAGUGAAAGACGGUCUUGCUGUCACUUAUAGCUGGAUCCGCGCUGCAUUAGCUAGUUGGUAAGGUAACGGCUUACCAAGGCAACGAUGCAUAGCCGACCUGAGAGGGUGAUCGGCCACACUGGAGCUGGGACACGGUCCAGACUCCUACGGGAGGCAGCAGUAGGGAAUCUUCCGCAAUGGGCGAAAGCCUGACGGAGCAACGCCGCGUGAGAGAUGAAGGUCUUCGGAUCGUGAAACUCUGUUAUUAGGGAAAAACAUAUGUGGAAGUAACUGUGCACAUCUUGACGGUACCUAAUCAGAAAGCAACGGCUAACUACGUG